GAUGAACGCUGGCGGCGUGCCUAAUACAUGCAAGUAGAACGCUGAAGGAGGAGCUUGCUCUUCUGGAUGAGUUGCGAACGGGUGAGUAACGCGUAGGUAACCUGCCUGGUAGCGGGGGAUAACUAUUGGAAACGAUAGCUAAUACCGCAUGACAACAGUUAUUGCAUGAUAACUGUUUAAAAGGGGCAACUGCUCCACUACCAGAUGGACCUGCGUUGUAUUAGCUAGUUGGUGAGGUAACGGCUCACCAAGGCGACGAUACAUAGCCGACCUGACAGGGGGAUCGGCCACACUGGGACUGAGACACGGCCCAGACUCCUACGGGAGGCAGCAGUAGGGAAUCUUCGGCAAUGGACGGAAGUCUGACCGAGCAACGCCGCGUGAGUGAAGAAGGGUUUCGGAUCGUAAAGCUCUGUUGUAAGAGAAGAACGAGUGUGAGAGUGGAAAGUUCACACUGUGACGGUAUCUUACCAGAAAGGGACGGCUAACUACGUG
RNAcentral lists this ribosomal RNA (495 nucleotides) under uncultured bacterium. RNAcentral's name for it is "partial 16S ribosomal RNA". It matches the Rfam family "Bacterial small subunit ribosomal RNA", at positions 28 to 507 of the family's 1533-position model. The record is from RNAcentral.